Molecule: ribosomal RNA, 520 nt
Filed under: uncultured bacterium
Lineage: Bacteria
Description: bacterial SSU rRNA
Rfam family: Bacterial small subunit ribosomal RNA
Source: RNAcentral
AAAUAGAUACCCGGGUAGUCCACGCCGUAAACGAUGAGUGCUAAGUGUUAGAGGGUUUCCGCCCUUUAGUGCUGAAGUUAACGCAUUAAGCACUCCGCCUGGGGAGUACGGCCGCAAGGCUGAAACUCAAAGGAAUUGACGGGGGCCCGCACAAGCGGUGGAGCAUGUGGUUUAAUUCGAAGCAACGCGAAGAACCUUACCAGGUCUUGACAUCCUCUGACAACCCUAGAGAUAGGGCUUCUCCUUCGGGAGCAGAGUGACAGGUGGUGCAUGGUUGUCGUCAGCUCGUGUCGUGAGAUGUUGGGUUAAGUCCCGCAACGAGCGCAACCCUUGAUCUUAGUUGCCAUCAUUCAGUUGGGCACUCUAAGGUGACUGCCGGUGACAAACCGGAGGAAGGUGGGGAUGACGUCAAAUCAUCAUGCCCCUUAUGACCUGGGCUACACACGUGCUACAAUGGACGGUACAAAGAGCUGCAAGACCGCGAGGUGAGCUAAUCUCAUAAAACCGUUCUCAGUUCGGA